Long non-coding RNA from Cyprinodon variegatus (sheepshead minnow), 396 nucleotides. RefSeq lists it as uncharacterized. The record is from RefSeq and is a predicted model, not a curated record. The transcript is spliced from 3 exons. Lineage: Eukaryota; Metazoa; Chordata; Actinopteri; Cyprinodontiformes; Cyprinodontidae.
UUCUAAACCAACUGCUGGUCACCAUUUUCAUUUCUUAUCCUCGGCAGGUUCUGCCAACUUAAGCUACUUGAUGGUCAAAGUCCGAUCAAACCGGCCCUGAAAGGCCAGACGAGGACACACAGAGUCCGCUCGGUGUAAAUCCUGUAGAUAUGUGCCACGGCUGUCUGCAUGUGAGACAACCAGAGGAGCGUCCUCGUCCUGGCUGGACAUGUCCUGGAUAGCUGCAGACAUGACCACUGAUUCCAGUAAAAAAUCGGAUUAUGGUUCCAGCAUAGCGAUGUCAGGCAGGAGCUUGGUGGCCAGGUCAUGGAUGGCUUUUCCCAUGAUGCACAUGGAAGACAGGAUGAAGAUCACGCCCAGGAUCACACAGGCUCUGUGAAAGAGAGGGAAACAAAC